UUGCGGGAGCUUGCUCCCAAAAGUUAGCGGCGGACGGGUGAGUAACACGUGGGCAACCUGCCUAUAAGACUGGGAUAACUUCGGGAAACCGGAGCUAAUACCGGAUAAUUCUUUUCUACACAUGUAGGAAAGCUAAAAGACGGUUUACGCUGUCACUUAUAGAUGGGCCCGCGGCGCAUUAGCUAGUUGGUGAGGUAACGGCUCACCAAGGCCACGAUGCGUAGCCGACCUGAGAGGGUGAUCGGCCACACUGGGACUGAGACACGGCCCAGACUCCUACGGGAGGCAGCAGUAGGGAAUCUUCCGCAAUGGACGAAAGUCUGACGGAGCAACGCCGCGUGAGUGAUGAAGGUUUUCGGA
This 360-nucleotide ribosomal RNA is filed under the name uncultured bacterium. RNAcentral describes it as "bacterial SSU rRNA". It matches the Rfam family "Bacterial small subunit ribosomal RNA", at positions 70 to 422 of the family's 1533-position model. The record is from RNAcentral.